AGUGAACGCUGGCGGUAGGCCUAACACAUGCAAGUCGAACGGCAGCACAGUAAGAGCUUGCUCUUACGGGUGGCGAGUGGCGGACGGGUGAGGAAUACAUCGGAAUCUACUUUUUCGUGGGGGAUAACGUAGGGAAACUUACGCUAAUACCGCAUACGACCUACGGGUGAAAGCAGGGGAUCUUCGGACCUUGCGGGAUUGAAUGAGCCGAUGUCGGAUUAGCUAGUUGGCGGGGUAAAGGCCCACCAAGGCGACGAUCCGUAGCUGGUCUGAGAGGAUGAUCAGCCACACUGGAACUUAGACACGGUCCAGGCUCCUACGGGAGGCAGCAGUGGGGAAUAUUGGACAAUGGGCGCAAGCCUGAUCCAGCCAUACCGCGUGGGUGAAGAAGGCCUUCGGGUUGUAAAGCCCUUUUGUUGGGAAAGAAAAGCAGCAGGUUAAUACCCCGCUGUUCUGACGGUACCCAAAGAAUAAGCACCGGCUAACUUCGUG
This 492-nucleotide ribosomal RNA is filed under the name uncultured bacterium. RNAcentral's name for it is "partial 16S ribosomal RNA". It matches the Rfam family "Bacterial small subunit ribosomal RNA", at positions 29 to 507 of the family's 1533-position model. The record is from RNAcentral.